GACGAACGCUGGCGGCGUGCCUAAUACAUGCAAGUUGAGCGCUGAAGGUUGGUACUUGUACCAACUGGAUGAGCAGCGAACGGGUGAGUAACGCGUGGGGAAUCUGCCUUUGAGCGGGGGACAACAUUUGGAAAUGAAUGCUAAUACCGCAUAAAAACUUUAAACACAAGUUUUAAGUUUGAAAGAUGCAAUUGCAUCACUCAAAGAUGAUCCCGCGUUGUAUUAGCUAGUUGGUGAGGUAAAGGCUCACCAAGGCGAUGAUACAUAGCCGACCUGAGAGGGGGAUCGGCCACAUUGGGACUGAGACACGGCCCAAACUCCUACGGGAGGCAGCAGUAGGGAAUCUUCGGCAAUGGACGAAAGUCUGACCGAGCAACGCCGCGUGAGUGAAGAAGGUUUUCGGAUCGUAAAACUCUGUUGGUAGAGAAGAACGUUGGUGAGAGUGGAAAGCUCAUCAAGUGACGGUAACUACCCAGAAAGGGACGGCUAACUACGUG
This 497-nucleotide ribosomal RNA is filed under the name uncultured bacterium. RNAcentral's name for it is "partial 16S ribosomal RNA". It matches the Rfam family "Bacterial small subunit ribosomal RNA", at positions 28 to 507 of the family's 1533-position model. The record is from RNAcentral.